GAUGAACGCUGGCGGCGUGCUUAACACAUGCAAGUCGAACGCUAUCUUGUAUAGAGUGGCGCACGGGUGAGUAACGCGUGGGAACCUACCUUUCUCUGCGGGACAACGGCUGGAAACGGCCGCUAAUACCGCAUACGCCCUACGGGGGAAAGGUCAGCCGGAGAAAGAGGGGCCCGCGUUAGAUUAGCUAGUUGGUGGGGUAAUGGCCUACCAAGGCGACGAUCUAUAGCUGGUCUGAGAGGAUGAUCAGCCACACCGGGACUGAGACACGGCCCGGACUCCUACGGGAGGCAGCAGUGGGGAAUAUUGCGCAAUGGGCGAAAGCCUGACGCAGCCAUGCCGCGUGUGUGAAGAAGGCCUUCGGGUUGUAAAGCUCUUUUACCAGGGAUGAUAAUGACAGUACCUGGAGAAUAAGCUCCGGCUAACUCCG
RNAcentral lists this ribosomal RNA (430 nucleotides) under uncultured Alphaproteobacteria bacterium. Its description in RNAcentral is "bacterial SSU rRNA". It matches the Rfam family "Bacterial small subunit ribosomal RNA", at positions 28 to 505 of the family's 1533-position model. The record is from RNAcentral. Lineage: Bacteria; Pseudomonadati; Pseudomonadota; Alphaproteobacteria.